GUCCCAAUUGCUUAAAAAUAUAAAAAAACACAGCUAUUCUGCGUCAUGAGAACUUGGAUUUAAUACCGUCUGUUAGGGUAUGGAUAGGGUUUAUAGAAAGCAGACUAACAGGCAAAAGGCCUAAAAAAAACAUAGUAUAUAAAAAAAAAUAUAUGAACAGAAAAUAUCGAAAAAUUAAAUUAAAAAACAUAGAAAAACAACCACAAAAACUGAAAAGGAAUAAAGAAAAAAUGGGAUAAAAAAAUUGAAUAUCGCAGACGCUUAUGUGCUGUUCGGAAUUGUGUGAACGGCUUUAUUCUCAGACGACUUGGUUGUCAGUUGUAGGUGCUUUAUGAUGUCUGUUUUAGAGUAAUGCCUCUAAUCAUAUUUGGGAAAUAACUAACGUUUGGCAAACACAGGAGUUGCCGUAAUUAUUUUUU
Molecule: long non-coding RNA, 419 nt
Filed under: Mytilus galloprovincialis (Mediterranean mussel)
Lineage: Eukaryota; Metazoa; Mollusca; Bivalvia; Mytilida; Mytilidae
Source: RNAcentral